AUUGAACGCUGGCGGCAUGCUUUACACAUGCAAGUCGAACGGCAGCGCGGGCUUCGGUCUGGAGGCGAGUGGCGAACGGGUGAGUAAUGCCUCGGAACGUGCCCAGUAGUGGGGGAUAGCCCGGCGAAAGCCGCAUUAAUACCGCAUACGACCUGAGGGUGAAAGCGGGGGAUCGUAAGGCCUCGCGCUAUCGGCGGGGCCGAUGUCGGAUUAGCUAGUUGGUGGGGUAAAGGCUUACCAAGGCGACGAUCCGUAGCUGGUCUGAGAGGACGACCAGCCACACUGGGACUGAGACACGGCCCAGACUCCUACGGGAGGCAGCAGUGGGGAAUUUUGGACAAUGGGGGCAAGCCUGAUCCAGCCAUGCCGCGUGCGGGAAGAAGGCCUUCGGGUUGUAAACCGCUUUUGUUCGGGAAGAAAUCCUCUGGGCUAAUACCCCGGGGUGAUGACGGUACCGGAAGAAUAAGCACCGGCUAACUACGUG
RNAcentral lists this ribosomal RNA (484 nucleotides) under uncultured bacterium. RNAcentral describes it as "partial 16S ribosomal RNA". It matches the Rfam family "Bacterial small subunit ribosomal RNA", at positions 28 to 507 of the family's 1533-position model. The record is from RNAcentral.